RNAcentral lists this ribosomal RNA (463 nucleotides) under uncultured bacterium. RNAcentral's name for it is "bacterial SSU rRNA". It matches the Rfam family "Bacterial small subunit ribosomal RNA", at positions 1 to 507 of the family's 1533-position model. The record is from RNAcentral.
CGUACGAUACGAGUUUGGAUCCUGGCUCAGAACGAACGCUGGCGGCAUGCCUAACACAUGCAAGUCGAACGAAGGCUUCGGCCUUAGUGGCGCACGGGUGCGUAACGCGUGGGAACCUGCCCCUCGGUUCGGAAUAACAGUUAGAAAUGACUGCUAAUACCGGAUGAUGACUUCGGUCCAAAGAUUUAUCGCCGAGGGAUGGGCCCGCGUAGGAUUAGCUAGUUGGUGGGGUAAAGGCCUACCAAGGCGACGAUCCUUAGCUGGUCUGAGAGGAUGAUCAGCCACACUGGGACUGAGACACGGCCCAGACUCCUACGGGAGGCAGCAGUGGGGAAUAUUGGACAAUGGGCGAAAGCCUGAUCCAGCAAUGCCGCGUGAGUGAUGAAGGCCUUAGGGUUGUAAAGCUCUUUUACCAGGGAUGAUAAUGACAGUACCUGGAGAAUAAGCUCCGGCUAACUCCGUG